This 253-nucleotide ribosomal RNA is filed under the name uncultured prokaryote. RNAcentral describes it as "partial 16S ribosomal RNA". It matches the Rfam family "Bacterial small subunit ribosomal RNA", at positions 524 to 776 of the family's 1533-position model. The record is from RNAcentral.
UACAGAGGGUGCAAGCGUUAAUCGGAAUUACUGGGCGUAAAGCGUGCGUAGACGGUUUCGUAAGUCGGGUGUGAAAUUUCGGAGCUUAACUCCGAAACUGCAUUCGAUACUGCGGUGCUUGAGGACUGGAGAGGAGACUGGAAUUCAUGGUGUAGCAGUGAAAUGCGUAGAGAUCAUGAGGAAGACCAGUGGCGAAGGCGGGUCUCUGGACAGUUCCUGACACUGAGGCACGAAGGCCAGGGGAGCAAACGGG